Molecule: long non-coding RNA, 1271 nt
Organism: Oncorhynchus nerka (sockeye salmon)
Lineage: Eukaryota; Metazoa; Chordata; Actinopteri; Salmoniformes; Salmonidae
Exons: 2
Source: RefSeq, a predicted model, not a curated record
GCUGAUGGAAGCAUGCAAACCUUGCAGAGUAAAAACAAGGUUAAUUCUUAAGCAGUGCAUUAGGAGAUGGUAAGCUAUUUUUUUGUGCCUUACUAUACAAAUGUAGGAUCUUAAUUUGAGGAUCUUAAUUAAGAUACAGCAUUUGUAGAUUGAUUUGGAUUCUUUCAGCUAUCUUGCUUCUCCUUUGUCCUUUCAUGAGUGUGUCGAAUGAAUAACUGGAAGGAUGUUAUUGAUGCAACCUGCAUCAACAGACCAUCACAAGCCCUCUAGCAAAGACAGGGAUGUGGCCUGGAAUGCCCGUUAGGAUCCAGCUGCUUCCAACUCAUUGGUAUUUGGGAGACAGAGCGUUCCCGAGCGUCUGUUGCACGUGCAAAGGAGGGGCUUGGCUGGGCUAGAGAUGCUCUUCUCUCUCUCUCUCUCUCUCUCUCUCUCUCUCUCUCUCUCUCUCUCUCUCUCGCUCUCUCUCUCUCUCAUGUUAUCAGGACCUAAAAAUAGAAGCCAUCCCCCCUCUCCCUCCACUCCCAAUGCAUCUGUGUUUUCCUCCACAACCUCCCUCCUUCUCCUUCCUUGUCUUUUUUUGUCCACAGAUGAGACUCUUCACAUGUUGAGAACUUUGGACUAUAAGGUUCUAUCUGCAUUCAUGUCAAAAAGGAGUUUUUGACCUAGCCUUGUUCUGUUCAAUGUUCUCUACCGAUAUACCCCAAUUCAUGUUGUUAAGUUCAAAAGAAUACAAGAUAAAAAUUGCUGACACCAUUCAAACCAACGAGGAUUCAGAACGUUAAAGCCAAUUAUCUCAGAAUCAUCUUUUUGCAGAUAGAACCUUAUAGUCCCAAGCUCUAGAUGUGAACCCUGACUAUUUAGAUUGUAGUUACAUACAGUACUUGCCCCAAUUUGGGUGGAGCCAUACUUAUUAAAACUUACUGCUGUGGUACAUUUCCUUGUUUCACAUGAUCAGUAACUGUUAAAAUGCAUCCAUCUCUGAAUCUUUAAACUGGGUUAAAGUUUGAUGAACUCCCCCCGCUGUGUCAUAGCUAAUCAGCAGAUGCUAACCCCCAGGAUGCACCGUGGUUGGUGUAUAUGGACGUAAUGCCCCGUGCUGCUACAUCACAUCAUUAUAAAACUGGAUUUGAUGAAUAGAUUGCGCUCUCAUAGAAUACAAGAGAGAUGAACGCAUACAGUAGUAUCAAUAAGUAGAAAAUACAUUUACAGGCCAGGGUUAACUGUUUGUAUUUGUUUUGUGAAUACCCUCAUAAACAUGGUCAUGUCAUGUA